This is a non-coding RNA of Triticum aestivum (bread wheat), 125 nucleotides long. NCBI's taxonomy places the organism in Eukaryota, Viridiplantae, Streptophyta, Magnoliopsida, Poales, Poaceae. The record is from Rfam.
UUUGUACUCCCUCUGUCCCAAAAUACUUGUCGAAAAGAUGGAUAAAAUUGGAUGCAUCUAUAACUAAAAUAAUUCUAGAUUCAUCCAUUUUUUCAACAAGUAUUUCCGGAUGGAGGGAGUAAGUU